GGGACUGGUACGGGGUUCCUCCUAGAGUUAGAGUUUGAUCCUGGCUCAGAUUGAACGCUGGCGGCAGGCCUAACACAUGCAAGUCGAACGGUAACAGGAAGAAGCUUGCUUCUUUGCUGACGAGUGGCGGACGGGUGAGUAAUGUCUGGGAAACUGCCUGAUGGAGGGGGAUAACUACUGGAAACGGUAGCUAAUACCGCAUAACGUCGCAAGACCAAAGAGGGGGACCUUCGGGCCUCUUGCCAUCGGAUGUGCCCAGAUGGGAUUAGCUAGUAGGUGGGGUAACGGCUCACCUAGGCGACGAUCCCUAGCUGGUCUGAGAGGAUGACCAGCCACACUGGAACUGAGACACGGUCCAGACUCCUACGGGAGGCAGCAGUGGGGAAUAUUGCACAAUGGGCGCAAGCCUGAUGCAGCCAUGCCGCGUGUAUGAAGAAGGCCUUCGGGUUGUAAAGACUUUUCCAGCGGGGGAGGAAGGGGAGUAAAGUUUAAUACCUUUUGCUCAUUGACAUUACCCGCACAAGAAGCCGCCGGCUAACUCCGUGCCAACAGCCGCGGUAAUAGCGAGGGGUGGCAAGCGUUAAUCCGGAAUUACCGGGGCGUAAAGCGGACGCAGGGCGGUUUGUUAAGUCAAAAUGUUGAAAUCCCCCGGGCUCAACCUGGGAACUGCAUCUGAUACUGGCAAGCUUUGAUCUCGUAAAGGGGGGUAAAAUUCCAAGUGUAACGUUGAAAUGCGUAGAGAUCUGGAGGAAUACCGGUGGCGAAAGCCGCCCCCUGGACCAAGACUGACGCUCAGGUGCCAAACAGUGAGGAAGCAAACAGGAUUAGAUACCCUGGUAAUCCACGCCGGUAAACCAUGUCAACUUGGAAGGUUGUGCCCUUGAAGCGUGGGCUUCAGGAGCUAACGCGUUCAAAUUCAGCCGGCUGGGGAGUACGGUCCGCCUUGGUUAAAUCUCGAAUGGAAAUGACGGCGCCCCGCUCUAGCCGCUGCAACAUGUGAGUUUAGUUCGAUGCAACGAGCAGAGCAUUACUUGAUCAUGACAUUCUACGCAGUUUUUAUAAGAUUAAAAUGUGCUUGAGUAACCCUGGAGAACAAGCUGCUGCAAUUGGCUUGUUGAUCAGCAUCA
Molecule: ribosomal RNA, 1127 nt
Filed under: uncultured bacterium
Lineage: Bacteria
Description: bacterial SSU rRNA
Rfam family: Bacterial small subunit ribosomal RNA
Source: RNAcentral